UGGCUCAGAACGAACGCUGGCGGCAUGCCUAACACAUGCAAGUCGAACGAGAAAGUUCCUUCGGGAAUGAGUAGAGUGGCGCACGGGUGAGUAACGCGUAGAUAAUCUGCCCUUUAGCCUGGGAUAACCCUUCGAAAGAAGGGCUAAUACCGGAGAGACCACGUCUUCAUAAGGAGAUGAGGUUAAAGGCCGCUUGCGGUCACUAGAGGAUGAGUCUGCGUAGUAUUAGUUUGUUGGUGGGGUAACGGCCUACCAAAACGACGAUGCUUAACUGGUCUAAGCGGAUGAUCAGUCACACUGGAACUGAGACACGGUCCAGACUCCUACGGGAGGCAGCAGUGGGGAAUUUUGGACAAUGGGCGAAAGCCUGAUCCAGCAAUGCCGCGUGAGUGACGAAGGCUUUCGGGUUGUAAAGCUCUGUCAGACAGAAAGAAUGGUCCGGUGGUGAACCACCGGAAGUGACGGUACUAUCAAAGGAAGGGGCGGCUAACUCUGUGCCAGCAGCCGCGGUAAUACAGAGGCCUCGAGCGUUGUUCGGAAUUACUGGGCGUAAAGCGAGUGUAGGUGGCGUACCAAGUCAGAUGUGAAAUCCCUAGGCUUAACCUAGGACGUGCAUUUGAAACUGGUAUGCUUGAGUGCGAUAGAGGAGAGUGGAAUUCCACGUGUAGGGGUGAAAUCCGUAGAUAUGUGGAGGAAUACCAAUUGAGAAGUCAGCUCUCUGGCUCGUAACUGACACUGAGACUCGAAAGCGUGGGGAGCAAACAGGAUUAGAUACCCUGGUAGUCCACGCCGUAAACGAUGAGUGCUUGUUGUUGGGAGUAUCAACCCUCUCAGUAACGAAGUUAACGCGUUAAGCACUCCGCCUGGGGAUUACGGCCGCAAGGCUAAAACUCAAAUGAAUUGACGGGGGCCCGCACAAGCGGUGGAGCAUGUGGUUUAAUUCGACGCAACGCGAAGAACCUCAUCCUGGCCUUGACAUUCUAGGACAACCGAUGAAAGUCGGCUUUCUCUUCGGGAACCGAGUGACAGGUGCUGCAUGGCUGUCGUCAGCUCGUGUCGUGAGAUGUUGGGUUAAGUCCCGUAACGAGCGCAACCCACGUCCCUUGUUACCAGCAUUAAGUUGGGUACUCUAGGGAGACCGCCGGCGUUAAGCCGGAGGAAGGUGUGGAUGACGUCAAGUCCUCAUGGCCCUUAUGGCCAGGGCUACACACGUGCUACAAUGCAACAUACAAAGGGCCGCGAAACCGCAAGGUGAAGCUAAUCUCAAAAAGUGUUGCUCAGUUCGGAUUGAGGUCUGCAACUCGACCUCAUGAAGCUGGAAUUCCUAGUAAUCGCAGAUCAGAAUGCUGCGGUGAAUACGUUCUCGGGUCUUGUACACGCCGCCCGUCACACCACGAAAGUGGUUUGCACCAGAAGUCGCUGAGCUAACUUCG
RNAcentral lists this ribosomal RNA (1433 nucleotides) under uncultured prokaryote. Its description in RNAcentral is "partial 16S ribosomal RNA". It matches the Rfam family "Bacterial small subunit ribosomal RNA". The record is from RNAcentral.